CACUGGCCUGUGGCUCUCCUGACACCACAAGAGAGGUCCAGGAGCUGACUUUGGGUCCAAUGGGGGACACCAUCCAGGCUACAGGCUGGCAGGGUGGUGUGGUGGUCAGUGUACUGGGCUCUGCGUGUCUGCCCCUACCUGCUGUGUGACGGUGGGCCAGACACCUAACCUCUCUGUGCCUCUAUUUCUUCAAUGGUGAACAGGGACACUAGCAGCCCCCACAUCCGAUCACAGUGGCCUGAAGGUUAAAGGCAACGGCGGCACGAGACGUACAGUAAGAGCUCUGAGCAGGGAGAGCAGGGAGCUGCCCAGGGAGUUCCACCACCAUCUCCCAUCUGGCCGCGAGGAACCGAGGCUCAUGGUGACCUGGCCAGGUCUGUUGGACUCAGGGUCCUUCUCAUCCCGAAGAUCAGAGAGCUGUCACCAGGGAAGGAGCUGGCCCCUAGACACAGCCCAGGAAGCACACAGAGAAGGAUGCCCUGGGGACUUCGCCCUCCAGGUGCCCCACUGAGGCCCACCCACAUCAGCCCACAGGCCAGCUCACCCGGUAGAAGGACAUGCCUUCCUCCCGCUCCCAGGCCCCAUUGAGAAGAUGUCUCCAGCUGCCUCAAACAGCUCCAGCCCCAGGUUGGGGUCGCCUGUGUACAGGUCCACAUUCUGUGCCACCUGAAAGGAGACAGAAGUUCCCUCAAGACCCACACCUAGCGGUGGCCACGCGCACCUU
Molecule: long non-coding RNA, 724 nt
Filed under: Macaca mulatta (Rhesus monkey)
Lineage: Eukaryota; Metazoa; Chordata; Mammalia; Primates; Cercopithecidae
Description: lncRNA (ENSMMUG00000052052.1)
Source: RNAcentral